CAAUUGUGCUAAAGGUGAUUGUU
RNAcentral lists this microRNA (23 nucleotides) under Eisenia fetida (common brandling worm). RNAcentral's name for it is "Efe-Novel-1_5p (mature (guide))". The record is from RNAcentral. Lineage: Eukaryota; Metazoa; Annelida; Clitellata; Crassiclitellata; Lumbricidae.